Molecule: ribosomal RNA, 570 nt
Filed under: Rhodococcus sp. ISP5-42-6
Lineage: Bacteria; Bacillati; Actinomycetota; Actinomycetes; Mycobacteriales; Nocardiaceae
Description: bacterial SSU rRNA
Rfam family: Bacterial small subunit ribosomal RNA
Source: RNAcentral
GAGCGGUAAGGCCUUUCGGGGUACACGAGCGGCGAACGGGUGAGUAACACGUGGGUGAUCUGCCCUGCACUCUGGGAUAAGCUUGGGAAACUGGGUCUAAUACCGGAUAUGACCACAUGAUGCAUGGUGUGUGGUGGAAAGAUUUAUCGGUGCAGGAUGGGCCCGCGGCCUAUCAGCUUGUUGGUGGGGUAAUGGCCUACCAAGGCGACGACGGGUAGCCGACCUGAGAGGGUGACCGGCCACACUGGGACUGAGACACGGCCCAGACUCCUACGGGAGGCAGCAGUGGGGAAUAUUGCACAAUGGGCGGAAGCCUGAUGCAGCGACGCCGCGUGAGGGAUGAAGGCCUUCGGGUUGUAAACCUCUUUCAGCAGGGACGAAGCGUGAGUGACGGUACCUGCAGAAGAAGCACCGGCUAACUACGUGCCAGCAGCCGCGGUAAUACGUAGGGUGCGAGCGUUGUCCGGAAUUACUGGGCGUAAAGAGUUCGUAGGCGGUUUGUCGCGUCGUUUGUGAAAACCCGGGGCUCAACUUCGGGCUUGCAGGCGAUACGGGCAGACUUGAGUGUUU